Molecule: ribosomal RNA, 253 nt
Filed under: uncultured bacterium
Lineage: Bacteria
Description: partial 16S ribosomal RNA
Rfam family: Bacterial small subunit ribosomal RNA
Source: RNAcentral
UACGUAGGUGUCAAGCGUUGUCCGGAUUUACUGGGCGUAAAGCGUGCGCAGGCGGCUCCUUAAGUCAGAUGUGAAAUCCCCGGGCUUAACCUGGGAACUGCGUUUGAAACUGGGGAGCUAGAGUGUGGAAGAGGGGGGUGGAAUUCCAGGUGUAGCAGUGAAAUGCGUAGAUAUCUGGAGGAACACCGAUGGCGAAGGCAGCCCCCUGGGCUGACACUGACGCUCAUGCACGAAAGCGUGGGGAGCAAACAGG